CGGUCUCAGUUCGGAUUGAAGGCUGAAAUUCGCCUUCAUGAAGCUGGAAUUGCUAGUAAUGGCAGGUCAGCAUACUGCCGUGAAUACGUUCCCGGGCCUUGUACACACCGCCCGUCACACCAUGAGAGUCGGGAACACCCGAAGUCCGUAGCCUAACCGCAAGGAGGGCGCGGCCGAAGGUGGGUUCGAUAAUUGGGGUGAAGUCGUAACAAGGUACC
RNAcentral lists this ribosomal RNA (218 nucleotides) under uncultured bacterium. Its description in RNAcentral is "partial 16S ribosomal RNA". It matches the Rfam family "Bacterial small subunit ribosomal RNA", at positions 1283 to 1500 of the family's 1533-position model. The record is from RNAcentral.